UACGGAGGGUGCGAGCGUUAAUCGGAAUUACUGGGCGUAAAGCGCGCGUAGGCGGUUUGUUAAGUCGGAUGUGAAAGCCCCGGGCUCAACCUGGGAAUUGCAUUCGAUACUGGCCAACUAGAGUGCGAGAGAGGGAGGUAGAAUUCCACGUGUAGCGGUGAAAUGCGUAGAUAUGUGGAGGAAUACCGGUGGCGAAGGCGGCCUCCUGGCUCGACACUGACGCUGAGGUACGAAAGUGUGGGGAGCAAACAGG
This 253-nucleotide unclassified non-coding RNA is filed under the name uncultured Halieaceae bacterium. Its description in RNAcentral is "contains 16S-23S intergenic spacer region". It matches the Rfam family "Bacterial small subunit ribosomal RNA", at positions 524 to 776 of the family's 1533-position model. The record is from RNAcentral. Lineage: Bacteria; Pseudomonadati; Pseudomonadota; Gammaproteobacteria; Cellvibrionales; Halieaceae.